GUCCACGCCCUAAACGAUGUCAACUAGGUGUUGGGGAAGGAGACUUCUUUAGUACCGCAGCUAACGCGUGAAGUUGACCGCCUGGGGAGUACGGCCGCAAGGUUAAAACUCAAAGGAAUUGACGGGGACCCGCACAAGCGGUGGAUGAUGUGGAUUAAUUCGAUGCAACGCGAAAAACCUUACCUACCCUUGACAUGUCAGGAACCCUGCUGAGAGGUGGGGGUGCUCGAAAGAGAGCCUGAACACAGGUGCUGCAUGGCUGUCGU
This 266-nucleotide ribosomal RNA is filed under the name uncultured bacterium. RNAcentral describes it as "partial 16S ribosomal RNA". It matches the Rfam family "Bacterial small subunit ribosomal RNA", at positions 793 to 1055 of the family's 1533-position model. The record is from RNAcentral.